This 429-nucleotide ribosomal RNA is filed under the name Chloroflexota bacterium. Its description in RNAcentral is "Chloroflexi bacterium partial 16S ribosomal RNA". It matches the Rfam family "Bacterial small subunit ribosomal RNA", at positions 355 to 776 of the family's 1533-position model. Lineage: Bacteria; Bacillati; Chloroflexota. The record is from RNAcentral.
UGGGGAAUAUUGCACAAUGGGCGCAAGCCUGAUGCAGCCAUGCCGCGUGUAUGAAGAAUGCCUUCGGGUUGUAAAGUACUUUCAGCGGGGAGGAAGGGAGUAAAGUUAAUACCUUUGCUCAUUGACGUUACCCGCAGAAGAAGCACCGGCUAACUCCGUGCCAGCAGCCGCGGUAAUACGGAGGGUGCAAGCGUUAAUCGGAAUUACUGGGCGUAAAGCGCACGCAGGCGGUUUGUUAAGUCAGAUGUGAAAUCCCCGGGCUCGACCUGGGAACUGCAUCUGAUACUGGCAAGCUUGAGUCUCGUAGAUGGGGGUAGAAUUCCAGGUGUAGCGGUGAAAUGCGUAGAGAUCUGGAGGAAUACCGGUGGCGAAGGCGGCCCCCUGGACGAAGACUGACGCUCAGGUGCGAAAGCGUGGGGAGCAAACAGG